This 462-nucleotide ribosomal RNA is filed under the name uncultured bacterium. Its description in RNAcentral is "partial 16S ribosomal RNA". It matches the Rfam family "Bacterial small subunit ribosomal RNA", at positions 355 to 832 of the family's 1533-position model. The record is from RNAcentral.
UGGGGAAUAUUGGACAAUGGGGGCAACCCUGAUCCAGCAAUGCCGCGUGUGUGAAGAAGGUCUUCGGAUUGUAAAGCACUUUCGACGGGGACGAUGAUGACGGUACCCGUAGAAGAAGCCCCGGCUAACUUCGUGCCAGCAGCCGCGGUAAUACGAAGGGGGCUAGCGUUGCUCGGAAUGACUGGGCGUAAAGGGCGUGUAGGCGGUUUACACAGUCAGAUGUGAAAUCCCCGGGCUUAACCUGGGAGCUGCAUUUGAUACGUGUAGACUAGAGUGUGAGAGAGGGUUGUGGAAUUCCCAGUGUAGAGGUGAAAUUCGUAGAUAUUGGGAAGAACACCGGUGGCGAAGGCGGCAACCUGGCUCAUGACUGACGCUGAGGCGCGAAAGCGUGGGGAGCAAACAGGAUUAGAUACCCUGGUAGUCCACGCCUGUAAAACGAUGUGUGCUAGAUGUUGGGUAACU